RNAcentral lists this ribosomal RNA (460 nucleotides) under uncultured bacterium. RNAcentral describes it as "partial 16S ribosomal RNA". It matches the Rfam family "Bacterial small subunit ribosomal RNA", at positions 338 to 795 of the family's 1533-position model. The record is from RNAcentral.
CCUACGGGGGGCAGCAGUGAGGAAUAUUGGUCAAUGGACGCAAGUCUGAACCAGCCAUGCCGCGUGCAGGAAGACGGCUCUACGAGUUGUAAACUGCUUUUGUACGAGGGUAAACUCAGAUACGCGUACCUGUCUGAAAGUAUCGUACGAAUAAGGAUCGGCUAACUCCGUGCCAGCAGCCGCGGUAAUACGGAGGAUUCAAGCGUUAUCCGGAUUUAUUGGGUUUAAAGGGUGCGUAGGCGGUCGGAUAAGUUAGUGGUGAAAGGCGGAGGCUCAACGUGGGAAUUGCAACUGAUACUGUGAGGCGAGAGAAUAGUUGCGGGAGGCGGAAUGUGUGGUGUAGCGGUGAAAUGCUUAGAGAUCAUGAAGAACACCGAUUGCGAAGGCAGCUUACCAAGCUACUUCUGACGUUGAGGCACGAAAGCGUGGGGAGCAAACAGGAUUAGAUACCCGAGUAGUC